AGCCAUUCUACACAUAUUUUUCACAUUUCAAACUAAAUUUUUAGACAGAACUACAACAAUUAGAAUAUUUAUUCUAGCAUCAUGUUGAAUACAAAAAGGCAUAAUUUGCACCAAGGUCUCAAGUGUUAACAUGCCUUUUAACAGGAAAUCCAUAGAACAGAAUGUGAUUUUUAUUUAAGUCAGACUAGUUUUAAAUUUUUGGAAAGUUUCUCAUAUGUAGUGCUUGGAGAUGGUAACGUCUAUCGGUGUAUACUCAGCUUUAGAAAAUUUACGGUAGUUCUGAUCUGUUAUUUGGGAGAGUGAUAAAAACAAUGUUCUAACAUUGACAUUUGAACUAUAUGAGUAUUCUAGUAAUUAUCUGACUGUAAAUGUGGAUUUCAAUUAAAGGUCAGUCUUUAUCAAAGUUUCUAGGAAAUCUACUAUGGGUAAUAGUUUAUUGCAUACCUCUC
Molecule: non-coding RNA, 449 nt
Organism: Pelobates cultripes (western spadefoot toad)
Lineage: Eukaryota; Metazoa; Chordata; Amphibia; Anura; Pelobatidae
Source: the annotation of a GenBank genome assembly